GUUAAUAAUUUAAGAUCAAUAACCAAAUAAUGAUUUGAGAAUUAAUCGAAGUAAUAGACAGUAAAGCAUUGAAUAAUAAUCGAAUAACGAUCGAAUAACAAUCGAGAGUAGUCGAAUAAAUAACUAAAGAAAUAAUAAUCGAAGAUAAUCGAAUAUAAGAAAAAUCGAAGUAUAAUAAUUUAACAGUCAAGAAAAUAAGCCAAGAAAUGAUCAAAAAAAAUAAUCGAAGUAAAAAUCUAAGAGAUAAUCGAUGAAAUCGAAAACGGCCUAUACAGCUGUUUAUAUAAAGAGCGUUGACCAAUCAGCAAAGGAUAGCUUGCCACUGCAUUGUCAUUGGUCCGUCGUGGCUUGCGGCGAAGACGUCCAAAGGAAUCGUUCGAUGCGACGCUGCGUUGCCGGCUGUAAGCAUUUGGAAGUUGCGUAUAGUGAAGAUGGAUCUCCAUGGACUUGUGCUCGUCUCGUGCAUGAAGAGUCUGCUGUUCCUCGACUCCUUGUAUACGUAGACUUAAUUAGGUCAUAUCAAUCUUUAUGUAUAAUAGUGUUAUAUAUAUAUAUAUAUAUAUAUAUAUAUAUAUUAGAAUAUGUGUAUUAGUAAAUAAUUAUGAUUCCGCAUAAAACAGAUUCCAGUAACAUAAACAAAUACGAAACAAAAACGAGAUGUCGCUUAUUCAAAACAAUAUUAGAAAAAAUUUAGAGUCUCAUUUUAUAGUUUCAAGUUGGCAUAGGAUGUAAUAUUACUUCCUCUUAUUUGAAAAUAUACGUACAUAUACGUACAUUUUAGAAUCCUUGUGUAUAGGAUUUAAUUUGAUAUAUGUGUUCUAUCUAGAUUUUCUGUUGCGUCUCCCUCUUCUUCGCGUGUUACGUAUGAUUCUCAAGUAUCUUCGUCUCCUGCUCUUUUCGGUUUUCUAGCUAAAUAAAUUAAGAGAUGUGUGAGUGAGUCUCAUUACGUGCAGCCUCCACCCAUAAUGCGUAUCCAUGUAAGAGAAUCUUGGCGAUGUAUUUUGUGGAUCGAAAAAUAAUGAAUAUCCGAAGAUAUUUCCUGAUCAAAAAGUAACGAAUGCUCUGCAGAGUCGUUCACCUAUGUUUGCGACGAUCUUGUCCAGUGAGUCUUCGUCCAUGAGAUUAUAUAAUGAAAUUUUUCCUGUGGGUAUAUGUUUUCAACUAAUUCCUCUGACGAAUGUGUCAAGGAUGGCGGGUUUCUUUAUGGGUUCCAUAAUGUGUGAUCUCAACUUAUUGAGGUCACGAUUAACUUCCAUUUGUUCCAGAUAUUCAGGAUCGGUGUACUCGAUGUUACUUGAUACUGUACUGUGUACAUUGUAUAUGUAAGAAGCAACUCGUUGCAAUCCUUUGAUGAACCUUUCUAUAUUAUUCGGGUUUUUGGAGCCAAGAAAUAUGAUUUAUUUUGAUACAUUAUGGGUAAUUCCCUGUAGCAGUCUGCUACUUGCCGUAUUUUUACUUCGGUUGCAACACAUUUAAUUAAGUGAAUUACUACUACUAUAUUUAGUGUCGCUUGUUUAUUACUAUGUAGGCCAUUCAGGAGAACAAUUAACUCGCUAUGCUGCACUUUACUAAAACCGUAUAUCAAUUAUAUGAUUUCCACGAAGCAAUUUUAUCGGCAUUUUGAUUUAUUCAAGUAGUGUUCUUUAAGAAGUAUACACAAUCCCCUAUCUGGAAUUUACCGACUUCUAUUUCUUAUCAUGAUAUUGUUUUUAUCUUACCUUUGCCUGAUUUAACACGUUCACGCCAGCACUGCUAUUUGCGCUUCUCUCUAUGGAGCGGCGCUUAUAUUAAUGCUUUACUUCAUCCUACUUUUUUUCAAUUAAUAUAUGUUAAAUUUCCAUUAUUGAAAUUUUAACUAUGUGGCAAUUUUUAUUAAGUUAUUAAACGAACUAAAUUUUUAUUGAUAUGCUCACUCUGACGGAAAAUUCAAGUGUAUGUAAGAUUUGUACGCGCCGGUAUAAACGUCUUAAAUUAUGUCUAGCAGCUUCUUGAGAUCUAUUCAAUUGUUCGUUUGACUUUGCUAAGUAAUACGCAUAAAUUUUGUUUCGCAAAUUAUUUAUGGAAAUCAUUUGGCAUUCUGGCUAACUCACCAAAGACGAGCUCAUGUGGUGUGUACUACGUACAUGGCAUUUGGAUUCCUUUCCAUGAUAUGAUUUUUUUCCAUAAAGUUUAUUUUGCCUGAGUUUUUAAAGAAAUUUGUCGAGUAUACCGCCAUGAGGGAUAGGGAAACAGUUCGGGACUAAGUGGAAUUGUAUCGGACGUUCAUAAAUGUCGAGAGUGCAUGGACCGUAGGUCGUGAUCGUUUCAUUGGUAAUUACUGUGGUGAUAAACCCUUUCUCUACGGGCGAUUUCUCCGACGCGGCACUCCCGCUGUACGAGCCGCCACACCAGAAAUAUACACGGUACUCAAAAGAAAUCAACAGUGACUGCAUUUAUGUCUCAUUGCAACCCGAGUUGCUAACGGCAUUUAUUGGGGAAAAAAGAAAAAAAAAACCUUAUCUCAAAAUGGGGUGAUAUUGUUCGAAACACGGUGGUACACAUAGACCAACAUCGCAAAUCCGGUAUUAGUAUCACGAUUCGCUCCUCCUGUCAUUUUUUGAACAUACGAGACACUUUCGCAACGUGUUCUUUCGUUUUGUAUUUUCAUUUGUGUAAAGUGAAGGAAAGUGUCUUCCCGUAAGACGACGUGGAUUGGUUUCUCUUGAUUCAUUUAAAAUGUUAUUGUUAUUUUCCUCUAGAUAAUGAUUUAAAAGUUGCUGAAUUAACUGUAGGUGAAAUUUUGCUAUUGAUAUUUGUUUGCCAAUUUUUUAUUUAUAUAAGCAAUAAGCGUUCCAAACGCAUAUAUCUAUUAAAUGAAAAAAUAUUUUUUGUACCACUUCAUAUUUUUGCAUUGUGAAUAAAUGGUGCUGAUAACCCUGUCCGUUUUGUUCACAGUUCCCAUUAUUCGAUUAUAAUCGACAAUACACUUUGGUUUUUUUACCAUUUCUUGUAUGCGAUAGUGACAUUUCGUGUCAACAAAUUCUUUAUUAUGGAAAGUGAACAACAUAUAGACUUUCUUUUUGUCACGCCAUUUAAUUGCUAAUGAAAGAUUUGAGAAGCGAAAAUUCGCAUCACCCGUUUUUUAUUUAUUUUAGAUAAUUAGCAUGCCCUUUUCUUUACUGUCUUUUCCUUAUUGUUUCACAAGCAUUAAUUCCAUUUUUAUGUAGAAGGAUAAAAUGAGCUGGACUUGUGUAUCAAUUAUUCACAUACAAUGUAUGGCCUUUAUGUAAAUAAGGUUUUACUACUUGCAUGACUAUAACCCCCGAUUUGUCAAUACUUUCACUUUCGCAGGUUGCAAAACUCAAUGCUCUAUUAUAAAUUAUAAAAUCUUGUACAAAUCCGGAUUGGGUAUCGCAUAAAAUAAACGAUUUGAUCCCAAAUCUAUCUCUUUUAGAGGGAAUGUGUUGUUUAAACGACAAACUUCCCUUAUACAAAAGUAAACUCUCAUCGAUAUAUAAAUUUUCGAAAGGAUAAAAUAUCUUUCGAAAACUUUUUCUAAACAUAUCGCAAAUUUCCCGUAUUUUGUAUAAUUUGUCAGUAUUUGCAAUCACUUUAUUAGUAUUAAAAUGUAAAAUUUUUAACAAAUAUAAAAAUCGAUCUCUACUCAUGACCUCCAAAAAUUUUGUUCGAUAGUUCGUCGUUGGACCAGUAUUCAUAAUGUGACAAUUUUUUAUUUCGCCACAUUAAUAAUUUUAUGGCAAGAAAGCAAUAAAUUUCUGGGAGAAAAGCGUUUCGGAAAUUUAUCAUAUUAGCAUCUUCAUCAAUUCUACUCCGAUAAUCGUUUGUCGUGCUAACAAUGAAACUUAUAAAAUUUUCGGAGCAGAAUAAUUUGAAAAAGAAACUCAAACUGAUGCCGAAUAAUCAAUUGAUGUUUUUAUCCCCAAAUAAUUGCAAUGAAAUUUAUGAAUAUCCAGUCGGAAUAAUUCGAUAGUCCAUGUAAUUUCUCUACUAUCUUUUCCAGAUUCAGUUGAAUUGUCUUCUUCAGAUUCGGAUGUAUCGAAUGUAUUUUCUCGAAUUCUUUUAUUAUUUGCCUUAUGUCAAAUUUAAAUUUAUUUGUUCAUCUUCUGAUAACUCUGAAUAAUUCUGAUCUAUAUUAACCUAUCUUACUUUUCAUCAUUUUAAAGGGUAGGAUAAAAUCUGUUAAAAAAUACUAAAUCUAAAUAAAGAUAAACAAAUUUAAAAAAUAACAAAGUAUAUGUGUCUGUUGUUGGAUACAAAGCGAAUUAUCUUUCUUCAAUAGGCACUAACUUUAUUCGUUGCAAACAUUUGAAUGAGUGCAACCAAAUUGAUUUGGCGACUUUCAUGAUUGAGCAAUCUUGUGAGAAACAAAAGACUGAUGCUAUAGUUCCAAGGAAAAAUAUUCGACAUGCAAUAACUCCAAUCGCUUAUAUGUACAUUACGCGUCAUUUUAUGCAAAGCGAUUAUAGUCGUCCAUGGUAUGUCAGUGGCCUCGCUCUCCCUCCCCCCUCUCUUCCUCUCUCUCUCUUCCUCUCCCUCCUUCUCUCUCUCUCUCUCCCCCCCUCUCUCCUUUACUAGUUUAAAUAAAACAGCAAACAAUGAAAAUAGCUUGAACAAAAAUGAUGGUAGUUUCUUAGGGAAAAAUUACCAACAUACAAAGUAAGAUUUCUUUAUCAAUAUGUGUAUGUGUGUAUAAUACUUGCGAGCUUAUUCUGGUUAGAAAUCUGAAAGAUCAUCUUUUUUUGAUUUCAUGGAGUAUUUUCUCACUAUUUGAUUCGUCAUGUCUACACUGAAUUUAAUGUUAUUGUAAAAUCUGGUCGUUUCAGAUAUACGUCUUUCACUUUUUCCACUUUAUAUAAUUUUAUGCUUUGAGCUUAGUAGAAAUACUGUUUGUGUUAAAAUGAUCAAACUAAACAUGAAAUCUAACAUUCAAUAGUUUUCGACAAUGCUAAAUCUUGCGCGUAUUUGUUGCUACUUAAUUGGGAAACGAACUAUGCUCGAUAGAUGCUUAUGACGUUCGAUUAUGACUCUGUGGGAGGGCUACUAUAAAUGAAAACGUAUCAGUUUCAAAUACCCUGUCAUAAAUAUACUGCAUUACGUCACGAUUGUUGAUAUCACUCAAAAUAUUUUUCAACAAACAACUACGAUAAUAUACAGCAAUAAAUUAUUUUACUUCAAAUAACUAAAAACAUAUUUUUUGAUAAAAAAAAAAUUACAUUAGAUGUAAAUUAUAAUGAAAGUCAAAUGCGAUGUAGAUAAAAAAUUCUGCCAGAAAGUUUAAAAAGGAUCGUUUGAUUCGUCGUGAUAAAUUCAAUGUUAACUUCUCUUUUUUUUUCGCAAAUUUUGAAGGACAAUGUAUGAAAUUGUUUCUUCGCCAAAAAUGUCGAAAAUAGCAUUUACACCAACAAUAAUUCUAGCAAUUCGAUGAACAAUGUUUCAUUUUAAAGAUGAAGGUUUAAGUAAGAACUCCUUUUUUUGGAAUUUUUAGGAAAGCUUUUCUUAUAGAUAAAUAAAAAAAAUUUUCAAAAAAUAUUUUUAAAUCAUCAGUAGCGAUAGAUUAUAACAAAAAUAUGAGUAGAAUUGACAUGGGCGAUCAAAUGUUGAGUAAAUUUCAUACCAUAUUAAGAUGUGCGUUUGUUUUGAACUGUCGUAUCGAUCGAUCGUAUUUACUCUCCGUGAUCUCGUUUACUUGUAUCAAUAGAAGUGAUAUUCAAAUUCUUUGAAAUCAAUAGAAUUCAUAUUCACAACAAUAUAAAUGUGGCGGUCUUAAUUCCUGCUAAUAUUGAAUGUCCUAACGACGAGUUUCAUACUCCUUAUACUAAUAACCAACAACAAAUGAUUCAACAAUGGAAUAUAAAAUUAAUGAUACAAACAUCUUAUAUAUCUUAACUAAAACAGAAAAUAAAACUAAUGAAGAAUGAAAUACUCGAGAACAAAUAAAAAAAUAAAAACUGGAAAUGUCUACCUCAACGUCAGAAUUAAAAACUAAAUUAGUAAGAAUACAAUCCAAGUCAAAGUAGCUUGAUGACCAUCAAAAUGAAAAUAGAUAUAUAGUGCUAUAAAAUUCAUAUUCAGAGACAGAAAAUGAUAUAACUAUCAACAUAUCUCAAGUACCACUGUUUUAUAUCGAAGCUCCUAAUAUUGAUCCGCUAAUAGAUAUAUUAAAAAAACUAAUAAAUCUUAAGGAAUUUAUUCUUAAGCAGUUCAGAGAUGAACAAAUUAUAUUACAAGUAUACUCUACCGACACUUAUAGAACAAUAAUUAAAACUCUCUAGAAGCAACGAUGCAAACUACUAUACUUUUAAAACAAAAACAGAAAGGAAAUUCAAAGUGAUAAUAAAAGGAUUGCAUUCUACAUUAAAUAUUGAGUAUAUUAAAACUGACUUGCAGGAAAAAGGACAUAUACUAAGUAAGAUUUUACUAAAAGUGGCACAUCAAUUCUGAUACCAAUGUUUCUAAUAGAAAUUGAACAAGCUAUAAAUAAUGAAGACAUAUACAACAUAUCGGCUUUAUGUAAUACACUAAUUAAAACUGAACUACCAAAAUCAAACAGACAACAUUCCACAAUAUACCAAAUGUCAAAGAUGUGGAUAUACUAAGAAUUAAUGCAACAAAGAACCUAAAUGUGCCAAAUAUGCAGGAACCCAACUUUCUCAUAACUGCCCACUGGGCAAAAAUAUUGAAAAAAUUAGCUGCUUGAAUUAUGGUAACAGUUAUUCAGCCAACUAUAAAGGCUGUAUUAUAAAAAAGCAACUCCAAAAAAAACUUCCACAAAAAAAAACAAUUAAUUGGAAAUAGAAAUACACAAAACAAAAUUGCUCUACAAGUAAACAUAGCUAUUCAAAACACGAUUAACAUACAAACACAGACAUUAACAACAAACUAUAAAUCACACAAAGCUAGGUGAUAAUCAAACAGAAGAUUCAAAUGAGAAGAUUCAAUUUUGUUAAAUUGGAAACACUAAUAGAAAAUCUGACACACUAAACGACAAUAAUACUAAAUCUAUUAACAAAAUUAAUUACAUUUUAAGAAUCAAAUCAAGCAAAAUUGAAAUGAUAGAGUGGAAUUAUAACGAAUUACAAAAUAGACUAUUAAAGAUAAUUCUAAAUCAACUAGACAAACAUUGUUGCAAUAUCAGAAACAUAUAGAAUAGAAAAAUCACAUAUAAAGAUUCCAUACUACAUUUACUAUAGUACUCCGCAUCAGAGCAGUAAGGCACGCGAUAGUCGGGAAUAUUCAUCAAACAUUUGUCAAACUAAUUAAUAAACUCUUAUCAAACAGAAUACAAGCUCAACACAAAAAACGAGCAACUACAGUCAAUGUCACUUGAAAUGAUCAUGAAUCAACAUCUCAGAUGCUCACCAAAGGCAUCAAAUAACUGUAGAGGAAUACAAAAAUUUUUUCAAAUCUUAUGCAGUGAGUUUACUAUUAUGGGAGACCUCAAAGCAAAACAUGACUUUUGGGACUUCAUAAUAACCAAUUCCAAAAGUAAUAAGCUUUUUUCAAUAUAUAAUAAAAAAUCAAUUAAGAGUUUACUCAUUGGGAAAACCAAUGUAAUGGUCAAUUGAUUUAAACAGGACUCCUAUUUUAGAUAUUGCUAUCACUAAUACAAAUUUAAACAUACAAAUGAAAAGACUACUUGAAGUAACUUCUGAUUACACACCCAUAAUCUUUGAAAUCGAUCAAAGAGCAUUCAAAAAUGUACAAAUAACACUAACGAAUAGUACUAUUAACUUGAUAGCAUAUAGGGACUACAUAAACAACAGAGACUAGAAUAUUACAUUCUACUAAAAAAUAGAUAAGAUAUAGAAAUAACAGCAGAAAUAUUAACUACUACAUUUCAACUGUUACAAACAAACUGCAGCAUAUAUUACAACAAAACAUAAAUUAUAUGAGCUAAGAACAAACAAAUAUCACAGUACAGAGUAAUAAAAAAGAAGAAAAGAGUAAAGAAACUAUGACAAAGUAGAAAAUGGCCACAAUAUAAAAUUAUAAUAAACAAAAUCACCAUCAAAAUUAAACAUGGAAUCAAUAAAACAAAUAAUACUAAUUUCACGAACUAUAAUAAAAAUUUGAACUCUUCUAUCUGUUUUUAACUAUCAGGAACAAAUUGUUAUCAUUUUAUUGGGACGUCCUACCUCAUCCUCCAUACUCUUCGGAUGUUGCACCGUGUGAUUACUACUUAUUUCUUUUAUUAAGAAAUUCUCUUUGCAAUAAACAAUUUAAUACAAUGACAUAAAAAUGCAUCUAAAAUAAUAUUUUUUGUAGGAAACCAUAGAAUUUCUGGAAAGAUUCCAUUAUGCGGAGAGAUGGAGAAAGGUAAUAGAAAAAAAUGGAUCAUACAUCAUUCAAUAAAAUAAUAUAAAACAUAAAAUGUUGUAGAUCUAUUAUUGUCUUAUAAUACGAAAGAAACUUUUGGGACAACCUAAUAACUACGUGAUAUAAACGCCUAAGCAGAUAAUAAAAUUUGCCAAAUGUUUUCAUUGAAGAAAUUGUAAAGAUUAUAAAAGUUUGAAAAAAAAAGAAAGAAAAAAAUCUUUUUUGCAGAAAUGUAUGCCACUAUCUAUAACGUAGACCAAUUCGGAUACCACAAAAUGCAUAUUGAAAGAAUAUUGUAGUACAAAGGAACUCCAAAAGAUACAACUGUUAUCGAGUCAGAGAUAAGAAGUUAGUAAAAUUUUCUCUAACAAGAAGCAAUUAUACAGAAAAACAACAUUCAUUUGAAAUACUCAUCAUCUGGGAAAUUGGACAAAAACUUGUUAAAUAUUGGUUCGAAGAUGUAUUCUUCCCAGAAGUUGAAAGAUUAUCGUCAAAAUCUGCAAUGCUAAUUGCUUGAUUUGGAUUCAACUUCCUAGGAAUGGAAAAAGAGCUAAAUAUAGCUAGGAGACAAAUCCAAUUAUGAAAACAUGUAUUACAAAUAUAUAGUCAACAUGAUAUCUUAAAAAAUUUUUUCCGGAUUCUGGACUAUCUCCUCCGAAUGAUGCAGAGUUUUCUAAGAGAGCUCCUUUAUGAGACCACUGAAGAACCCCGCAGAAAAAAUAUCACCGGAGGAUCCAUUCAGGAAUCUAUCCUGGUCCUAUGAAAAGUCUUCUAUGGAUGAAAACCUGCACAUGGACAUGCCAGAGGGAUUUAUUUAGUUGGCUACGCAGAUAACAUCGUCGUAGUAAUAAAUUGGUAAAAAAGAUUAAAAAUUAUCAGAGAAAUAAAGAAAAAUCCAACAAUAAGUGACCCAAAAUUGGCUGUGUUUGGUUUAAUCCUUUACACUCGGGUGUCUCCUCUGAGAGAACAUCGAAAGUUUAGCAUAUCACUCAGAGGGGACAUUAGAGUUGAUUAGUGUUAUGAUGGAUUAACUAACACUAUCGCAACUUUUUGAAAAAUGCAUGUUUCUCUGGUGUUUUCUAUUAAAAUGGCAUAAAAAAGCAAAUUAAAAAUGGUACAAUUACCAAGAUAUAUGAAAAAAAUAUCAGCCAGUAUACAGAAGAGAACAUGCAAAAUGUAUUCACGACUGUUUAAAGAGAAUGAUAAGAAGGAUUUACAUAGCAAUUGUAUGCGAGUAUGUCUUGUACAAUAAAAUGAAAUUUGAUAAAAUAAACAAGCAUUCCCAAAAUUGGAGAAAGAGAUUUUCGAAGCUGAACUCAGUACAUAUUGAAGCAUCGAGCAGUAUAGAUAGAUCCCUGCAUUAAUAAGACAGAAAAUCAGAAAAGCAAUAUUCUUUUGGUAUACAUAUAUCGUUUUGUAAUUUCGUAAUUUACAAUUAAAGAUUUCUAACCUAUUUAUUUAUCCAUUUUUUUUUUUAUUAGAGUAAUGACAAAAUGACCAAACACGACUAAGUUUCAUGAUAUAAAUAGUAGUGAAAACGAAUUUCAGAUAAAUAUUUAUACAGAUAGGUUAGAAAAAAUAUAUAUUAAUCUACAAGAAAAUAAUAAUAGUAAUAGCGAUAUCAUCCAAUCAAGAAAACGAAGAAAUAGUUAAAUAAUAGAUUGUAAUAGCAAUAAUAAUGGUGCAGAAAAAUUUUUUCAAAACUUAUCAUACUGUAGAAAAUUAUAAGGAAUAAAAUUUUGAUUUUUUUGCAAAAAAUAUGUUCCUCAAUAUCUAUAAAUUUAUAUAAAUCAAAUAUUAUUAUAAUUCAUUAAGCUAUACUAUAUAAUAUGAUGCGAAUCUUAGGUCCACCUUUUCGCGACAAUGUACCACCGAAUUACUGAUAACGUUCGAAAUGGCUCCGAAUGCAAAAUGUUAAAAUACUUUAAUAAAACAGUAUCUGCCAAAAUAUGUAGGAGAAUUUGAAAAAGGAAGGCUAUAAUAAUGAAGCCAUUUGUUAACACUUUUCAUGCAGAGCCGUUUUUGCUCGACUUUUCAUUUAAGUUAAUUGAUAUUUUGACUAAAGAUUGAUAUAUUAUCAUAUAAUAUUUCAUCAAUCCAAAAAUAAUUUGCUUGUAUAUGGUAGUUAUUGCAUCGCAUACCAUCCCUGAUACACGCUAUAACCAGUUUCAGCUUUUUGAUUAAUAACAAGAAUCUGUACCUGUUCAAAUUUGUUCAGGAAAAAACGAGAAAAAUAAAAUAUUUAACAAAAGAGGGAAUAGGUGAAUAACAUAAGACAUAACAAUAGGAAAUAACAUUUUUUCUUUUUCAUUUGUGGAAAACAAAUUUUUUUUAUUAACUUUCAUUAGUUUAUUCUUUUAUCUUUUAAUUUUUUGUAUCGAUUCAAUUAUCCAAUUUUCUAUUUUUAUCCCUAAUGACAGUCAAUAGAGAAAUGUAAGACUCAGUUCUAAUAUUAUUUUUAGCGACAUAGAACUUCUAUAUAGAAACGCUUGUGCAAAUCUAUAUUAUUAUCUUUCAAUGAAACAAGCAAUACAUCAAUUACAAAACUAUAUAUCGAAAUGUUGCUGAUAAUUUAUCAGACCAAUGGAUAAAUACAAGUGGAAACCAACCUUUACUCAUACCAUUCAUGGGUGCACUUGGAAUAACAUUAUUCUUGGAUUAUUUGCAUGAAGAAGAAAAUUUUUACCUAUUAUUUAUUAACGAAGAAAUGUUCCAAGACAUAGUAGAACAGACUUAUACAUACGUGAUGCAAACAUUGGCUCAGAAAACGAUCACACAAACAAAUGAAUUCCCAGCAACAAAAGGCAAUUAAAAAAACUUUUCAGGCUUCUCAUUUAGAUGGGAUUAGUAAAAUUACCCGAAAAACACUUAUAUUAGUCCAAAGAUCCAACAUUCGUUGAAAGCUUUCCUGGAUCAGUAAUUCCAAGAAAUCGCAUUAAAAUACUGUUACGAAUGCUGCGUUUUGUAAAUGCAAAUUUUGAAAAUUGCCUAUAAAAUCAAACCAAUUAUUGAAAAACUAAAGAAAAAUUAUGCAAAAUAUUAUAAUCCAGUCAAAGUAAUAUGUAUUGGGGAAUCUAUAAUACCAUUUCGCAACCACAUCGUUUUUAUAUAAAACCUAAACGGCACCAAUAUAGUGUAAAGCUAUUCAAAUGAAGCUUCAAACUAGGAUAUACCUAUAACUUUGAAAUAUACCGGGAUAAAUGAUUUAGCAAGAAGAAAACUAUUUCCACAGAUGUUGCCACUUCACUUUGUAAAAUAUUGUUGAUAAAGAACAUACUUGAUAAUUGGUAUACUAGCAUAGAUUUAGCAGAAGAAUUUAUUGUUAAAAACAUACAUAUAAUAGAAACGAUUCGAUCAAAUCGUCAUAAAAUUUUCAAAGAAAUAAUGUAAAAAAAUUACAACCAGGAGAAAUAUUUACAAAAUAAAAUAAAGUUAUGAAAUAAACGCGAUGUUUUUCUAUUAUCUACCAAACAUUCUACAAAUAUGGCUGGUGUUAAAAAAAAAAGAAUAUGAUAACGUUUAAUUGAAACUUUUUAUUGAUUAUAAUGAAGCCAAGAGUUCCAUUGAUAUUUCUGACCAAUUAACACUAUACAGUAAUCCAUUACGUAAAACUUUAAAAUAGUAUAAAAAAGUAUGAUUUGAGCUUUUAUUAAAUACAUCAGUUGUAAAUACUUGAAUAUUAUAUAAUACUCAGCAACAUAAAUCUAUAUCAAUAUAAAAUUCAGAAGACAAGUUAUUUAUUCACCUCACUGUUAGGAUGAAAACAACGAUUUAUCCGUUCAAAUUACGACAAACGCUACAAAACGUCAUGAAAUUAAAAAAUAGAAGGGCAAAGUUAGAAAACAUUGCACUUCUUGUUAUAAACAAAAUAUAAAACAUUUGAUAUUGAAGUAGCAAGAUAAAAAAUUAUGAGAAUAGUAACGUUUUACAUCCGAACAAGCUCUUUUAUGCAUUCCUUGUUUUAACAAAGUGAAUCAUAUGUAAUUAUUAAAUAUUGUAAAUAUAAUAAUUAAACAAAAUUAUUUGUUCUAUAUUACAUAUUUUAUAAUACCUCAUUCUUUUGAUGAAAAUAUAUUCUACAGUUUUAAAGUUAUUAUAAAAUAUAUUUUUUUAGCGAAUUAAAUAAAUACAGCACUACUGGUGGGAAAGUUCAACUCAACAUGAUAAACUAUUUCAAACCAUAUGUAGAAACUUGGUUUGGUGUAUAAAUAUUGUAGAUGGAUGCCUUAUUAAUUAACUGAAAAAAUGUACAUGGUCGAGUCAUUGUUUGCACAUCUCUGCUUACUCGAAAUAAAAACGAACCUUAGAUCGGAUGAUGACCAGUGAUAAAAAGUAGAUUACAUAUGAGAACAUUGUAAGAAAAAGAGCGUACUGUGAUUCCAGAUCUUUUCCCUUCACUUCGAAAUCGAGCUCGAACUUCAAUAAGAGAAUGUUGUAUAUAUGAUGGGAUAUCAAAAGGCUAAUACACUGUGAACUGCUGAAAUCCAAGGGAAAUACGUUUUUACAGGAUAUAAGAGUCCCACACAUAGAAAAGCAAGCCAACUCCUGGAGGGUGCAUAAUGCAUUUUCCUUCUCAAAAAAUAGGGAAAAAAACCAUAUCGCUCUGAUAGACAUCGACAUUUUGCAACAACACAAUAAUAUAACAAUCGAAUCCCUGAUUCAUUAUCAAUUUUUAACUGAAAAAUUUAAGGAUAUAAUUAAGAAUGCUUGGUUUAAAACUGAUUAUGCUGUCGAAAAAGACAAUGCUAUUUUUGAAAUAUCACAUUCCGCUAAAAGAUGUUGCCAAGUUAUGAAUAUUUAGUUUGUCUUGCUGGUCUAAGUAUGAAAGAGACAGUAUUUGCUCAUUGUAAUCAUUGUGAAAAUUAUUAUUGCUUCUAUCACUUUUUUAAAUUUUUUAAUUGAAAAAAUUGUUAUGAUUUUUUGACUAUUAUCAUUUAUUAUGAUUAAUUUUUUCUUAUUAUUUUUUAUUAAUUUAUUAUGAUUUAUUUAUUAUAAUUUAUUUUUAUAUAAUAAAAUAAAAUAAAGGUUUUGUCAUUCUCUUUUCUUCACUUUUCUUCUUUCUUUCUUUUUAUCUCAUAUGAUCUCUCGAGGUCAGACCAGCUUUUGAUAAUACUCAUAAUUUACAUUUUCAAUCUAGAUUAAAAAGUCUGCGAUUUUAUCAUCAAUUGAAUAUUAUUUCUUAGAAGCAAACUGGAUUCUAAGACAAAGAAACUGCUGUUCAUGGAUUAUAAUAACGAAUUCUCCAACUAACACAUCUAUGAUUCAUUCAGGAGAACCAUUACUGCAUUCCAUGAGAGAAAAACGGAAGUAUUCAUUCAACACCAAAUACAGUCAGCUAGAACAUACUGACUUGAUGUCCUCAAUGAAAAAGAUCCCAGUGGAUUCAUACCAUCCAUCAUAGAUAACAACGAGAAUCUAAAUGAGCAGCAGUCGACUUUAGGGUUUCAACUUUACGACAAAUCCAUUUUGCGGUCACCAGUCAAGUACAAAACCAUUAUUGCUGAAUUUUAUGAACUCUCAAUAUUCCAGGAAGCAGUAACUAGUCCAGACUCUACAGAAUGAAGCAGGACCAACAAGGGGCUGAUCGGAGAAAAGCAAUGUGGUCAAUAGUGCCCUCUAUUGAAAAGAACAUUCAUCCGAUUGACUCAAAAUGCAAAGAACUACAGAUCAAUGGACCAUUGUAUGAAUGGAUUCAUGUUAGAGAAUUCGUAUAAAGAGUUGGUCUGGAUUACUUCAAAACGUUCUCAUUAUUAGGUAUAAUUCUCUGCAAAUAUUGCUAUCCAUAGCCACACAUGAAAAUCUCAAAAUGGUUCAAUUUGAUCAUUCUUGUGUGGCGAACUUGAGAAUGAAAUUUUCAUGAAGGUUCCAGAUGGUCUAAAGGUCAGUAUUACUAAUACUCGAAAAUUUGUAAGUUAAUCUUUUCAGAAACUUGUUACAAUAUAUGUCGUACAGCACACACUUAGACAUUGCUUCAUUAAAACAACAAAAUUUCUCAGACUUUCUCAAGUAUUACAAUUUUAUAAUCUAUAACUCCAAUUACUGUAUAUACAUAAGUAGGAUAAGCGAUAAGAACAUUAACUUAUGUUUAUUUGUAAAUAAUGGAUUAAUUGUAGCCAGGGUAAGAACAGUUCUUGAAGCAAUGAUCGAAAUUCUCUUUAAGUCUUUUAAAAUCAAUCUUGGCUACUAUAUUAGGAUACAAAUUGAUAGGACAAAAGAAAUGAUGUUCUUGUAUCGAAGUGUUUACAUCCAGUAGAUUCUACAAAAAUUCAAUAUAAAUAACUGCAUGCCGGCUAGCACUCCUAUAGCUUAACAUAGUUCAUUGGUGCAAAAGAAGCGUUAGUAAAUGCAAAAACACCGUUUCAAGAGGUGAUCCUUAAUGUUUCUGCCGACUAUCACAAAAUAUAAUUGUUGUUUGCUGAGUUAGUAAAUAUUUGAAUAACUUCAAGUCUAGUCAUUAGUAGGCCAUAAAGCAAAUAUUUGGAUAUUUAACCCUUUGUACUCCUAGCACUUUUAUAUACCAGCAAAUCCAGCAGUUUUUAUAGUGAAAUAAAAGCUUUGGAAAUAAAAGACAUUGUUUUGAAUUCAAACGUUACAAAUGCUUAUAAAUUUACUUAUUUUUAUUUAUUUUAAAAAUAUGCCUCAUUCUAAUGUAAAUAAAACUUAAAUUUUACAUUUUGUUAUUCACCACAUAAUAUGUUUGAAAAUAGUUUCUGGGUCAUAUUCUUGGCUUAUUUCAAAAAGUAUCGCAGCAUUCACUUGUAUGGCGUCUUCCACCUUUUUCUUUUUCUCCAUAUUAAGGAUAAAAGGUCAGAAUUCAUCAUUCACAUCAUGCCACAUCUGCCACAUAGAGUUACUAGAGUUACUUAUUUAUUUUAACCUUAGGAUACGUUUUGCAUAGUUGUUUGUUUCUUCUAUAAUUUCAUAUACCAUUUGCUUUAUGAAAAACAAUUUGAAAUAUUAUAUGAGGUAAUAAUACUUAUGAUCCAAUUACUCUUGGCCACACUCUAAAAGUAACUUUUUCUGGUAUUUUCUCGUUUUCAGUUAUAUUGUACUAUUUAUCUUCAUCCUUUAAUAAUUCAAAAUCAAAUUCUUCUUCACUUUCACUCAGUUCUAACUUUUUAUCAUGACUUUCUUCUUUCUCUAUUUUUUAUCAGUAAAAAUAACCAAAGAAAAAUUUGCAUUCAAGAUUACAAAAGUAGCACAUUUUAAAUACACAUAUGUAUUGCCCAAUAGCCAAUGAUAUUGCAUGAUUCCCCAAAUGGAGUAUGUGACGAGUAUAUAGCACUAAACAAAUCCAACGAAAUGCAAAACAAAGAGCUUUUUUUGAUUUAUUUACAGCGAUGCCGACUACGCGGGCGGUAUUUCCACACGCAGAUCAACUUAGCAUCUUUAUAUUAAUCAACAAAUCAGUAUCCUAAUCCUCGUAAGCUGUGAAGUGUCAGGCGUAGUGUGAUCGAAGCUACGACAUCAGCAGUCAAAAAUAUAAUCUGAUUGAAAAACCUGACAGAAGAUAUUGGAUAUCUGUACGUUGGUGCAAUAAAAAUUGUCAUAUAUAAGAUAACUAGAAUGCAAUUAAAUUAAUCAACAGCCUAGAAUUUCUCAAACGCACGAAACAUAUAAAUGUCACUUCAUUACUUUUUAGGGUAAAAUUCAAAAACAAAAAGAUCGAUGUAUUGUCCAUCAAUUAAACAAUUAGCAAACGCAUUUACUAAAACUUUACCUAAAAAUUAUUUACAAAAGUACCUUGUUAUCACACACGUGCGCACCCUCAGCAAUUCACAAUAUUAUCUACUAAGGGCUGUAUAGCAUUAUUGAGAAUAUUUAUCCUUAGGAUAACGUUGAACUCUCACUAAGAAAAUCUCAUUUAGAUAAAAAAAAAUAUAUCGUCACCAUUGUCCGAGCUUAGACAUUGUUAAUCAAUCGUGUGAUCCUCAAUAAUGUGCCGAGCCGGACUAUAAAUGAAAUUAGACUCCUAGAUAAAGUGGACUACAAGUUUAUCUGGAAUCUACUUUUAAGAUAUCAAUUCGACGUUCAUGAAUCAAUACGGUCACCAGAACAAAAGGCAUCAUUUCUUCUCUUUCCAUGUCCUUUUUUAUUUGAACUCCUCUCUCUCUCUCUCUCUCUCUCUCUCUCUCUUUUCCUUUUCUAAUUUCAAUAUCAUCUUCGCGGAUAAUUAGAGAAAUCAUCAAAUAGUCGAUCUACACAUUUCGAGCUAAAAACAGUAACACAACCGAGUCUUAAUGACAUCACCGAUCAUCCUUCAUUCGAAGUUAGCCAGCACAAUUAAUGAUACACAUGGCUCCUAUGCUACCUCGUUACAUACUGACAAACGCAACCAAUUCAUCAACUUUACUACUGAAUGGACGACAUACAUUUAUUGUGAAGGAGGCCACCCGGGACGUGCUGGCUCGUAUAAUAUCUCGCCAAAUAUUGGCAAACGUAAUUAAAUCAUCCAUUCUAUUACUGAAUGAACGGGCCCCGAAAAACCCAAAACUCCUACCGACGAACAGUUUCGCCGUGAUCGACGCAAUGACGAAUCUAAAUUAUCCUUUAUAAAAAGGGUUUCUUUACGAAAAUCGUCAAAAAGAAAGAAACACUCAGCCGAAGAAAUGAGAUCUUUGGCUGUCUUCGACCACAUCCUUUCGUCGAUUAUCUCUUUCGGAGCAACUCUCUGAAGUUCGAAGGCCGGACAGUCAAGAAUGCGAUGCUGGAUCGUGUUCUCCUUACCAUAAUCGCGUCUUUCAUUUGUGACUAGACUCAACGACGUGAGUUUGAAUCACUGUAUUUUGUGAGAAUUGCGUGAAAUUUGGAGAGACGAAACGGACAUUCAUUCUGUCCGUGACGUCCGGAAAGAAAGCAAAAGUCAUUCUGCCUUUGCACGAUUCUUCUCAUCUCGAUUACCAAAACACUAUAACUUCCUCCUUAAUUCUGUUCUCCGAUAUGCAAUUCCUUUCUUGACUUCUCGCGUCGCGAUUUACCGUUUCUUUUCCGUCUCGGGAUUUCUAUAAUGUUACCGAUGCUUAAAAGUUGAAAAUCGAUCGGAAAUUCGUCGACAACGAAUGAAUCAUAAAAACUCGGUUUAUGCCGUACGAUACGCGGAUAUGAGGGGGCUUAUAAUUGCAAUGUAUUAAUUCACAAGUAUCUUUAUCUUUCAUGAAUUUUACAAAAUUCUUCAAAGAAAUUGCACUCUCCCAUUAAUUUACGGAACGCGGCGAGAAAUGUUUUGCGAAGAAUAAUCAACAAAUUCCAAACCUUUUUCGUGCUAUUAUUCUUUUUUUUGAGUCUACAACUCUAACACCUAGGAAGAAACGGGGAUAUCCUUUAUGCAAAUUAACUACUACAGUGAGAGAAGCGCGACGUAACACGUAAUUUAUUGUAUUUAAAAUACUUUGUUCAACAUCCAAUAAUCAUUCAUUCUUCUUCCGUUGUCUAUAAUUUCAUUAUAACAAGUAGAAAAUCUUUAUAUUUCAUCUUUUUAUCAUUAUAAAAAUUAUAAAUUCUGACAGCAUUGAAUAGACUGCAAUUGAUGAGAUAUAAUACCACUUUCUUUGAUCAUUUAAUUGUUUUUUUCAAUAUUGAAUAGUAUGAGAGAUAAUGAUCUGUGAUCUUGCGCCGUUCAUUAGAUUAUAUUCUACAAUACAUUCAACCAUUUCAAAUUUAUAAAUUAUGAAAAACAUCCAUAUUUCUCUUUUAUCUCUCCAAAUGUACAACAAAAUAUCACUUUUCCGUUCGAAAAUACUUUCUCCUUUUUUUAAUUUAAACUGCUUUGUUUCAAACAUCUUGACAAUCUAUUAGCGUAGAUUAUUUUAUUGUAUAACAGAAAUUCAGCAAUAUUCAAAAUAUUAUAAUUAUCCAUAUAAAGAUGGUGCCAAUUUCCGAAAUAUGGUGUAAGAAUUGUUGUUACAAUAUUUUACAGGUUUUGCUUUGACAAUAAAUUUCUAUAUUAUAUAUAUAACUAGUUUGACUCACCGAUUAUACUCGUACAAGUAUUUUAUAUUUGGUGAGCUUUCGUGGAUUGUUUGUUUUAAAUUUCAAUUUUUCAUGCCAAGAGAUCAUGGUUUCAUCCAAAGAUAAGUUUUGAUGAAGAGUAUAAACAAUUAAAAAUUUUUCUAUUAGAUAACUAUAAACAAAUUCUGUAUUCUAAAGUCUAUCAUUAUCUUUAUUCAUUUUCAUGAAAAUUGUUGUCAUUAAAAUGUAAAUAUUUUAUAAUUUGAUUAAAUCUAUUCUUGCUCAUUAAUUUUGAAAUGAUAGAUGUUGCCAAAUAUGAAUCCACGGACUAGUAUUCUUUUAUUUUUUCUCUUCACUUUCAGAUUCAAGAAUCUCAAUUUCAUCCUUGCUUUGACACAAUCUUCAUUAAUGUUGACCAUUCUUUGUAGCAACUCAUGAUCUCUUUUUGAAUUACUCAUGAUAACUAAAGAGUGAUUCUUUAGAAUAUAGUAUAACUAGUACUUUUUCCUAAUUCUUUAAUAAUAUUACUAAUACUCAUAAUAAUAUGAUAUUUUCUUCUAAACAUCUAUUUAUUUGCACUUUCUGAAACUUUUUGUAGAACAUUUAUACACUUUGACCGCAAUUCAACGACUGCAGUUCGUUCUUUAUUCUUAGGUCUAUCUAUCAAUAUUUCGUCCACACUUUAAAUAUAUAUGAUAGAUAAGCACACGUGACAAAUCUAUUUGUUUCCUUUAUUCCAGUGAACUGCGACGUGUUGAUAUUGGCUUCAAUGCUAUUGAAAAAUAUUCACGUUGAAUUAUGAUUUUUAUUUAGAAUCUACAUUUAUUUUUUAAACGAUCGGAAUUGGAUACAUGAUCAUCACUAAAAUACAGCAUUUAUAAAAGUAAUAAAUAACAAUCUUUGCUGAUUACUUCACCAAAAAUAUCGCUUUUCGAUAGUUUAUUUCUGCUCUAGUAUUCUGCUAACGAUACCCUUUUGUUUCUGAUCAGAAAAGAGAUAACGAUGAAGCAAAAUAAUUCAUUUAGCUAUGUACCAGCUAUUAUUUUAUUGUUGUUCUUCUGUCGUCAAUAGUUGUUUGUUUUUUUAGCAAUAUAUUUUAUCAAUUUUUUGCUAACAAAUAAUUGAAAAUCUAUAAUUUUCCAUGAAUAACAUAUGCCUACUUGAAUUCCUGCAUUAAUGUGGAUGAAUUUUAAUGUGCAUUAAAGUGAUGAAUUUUACGAUUGAAUUUUGCCAUUGUUCCUAUAAUAUUUGAUUUGAUUGAAGUACGACCUCACUUUUUACUCAAUUACCUUUAAUUUCUUCAGACUCUGAGGUACUUAGCACCUUUACUCAUCUUCUAUUUUUGUACUCGAUUCGCUUUCAUUGCAGUUAUACAAAUCAAUUUCUAAUUUAUCAAAUGUGUUCGUCACUUGCAACUUUCUUGAAACCAUUUUGAGAAAAGCAAAACCUGAAUUCUUUAUAUACGAAAUGAAAAGCAAAUUGAUACUUGUAAGAAAUGAGGAUACUUUUAGACAAUAGACGGACGUACCAAUACAAAGAUCCUCUGAAAUUCUUGUUCUUAAAGUUUGCUCUAUUCGCGUUAAUUGUCUAUUCCUUUAUACCACCUAACAGUAAUGAAAAAUAAUAGAGGUAGAACAAAUAUGAUUCAAAUUGUGUGGAUUUCUUUUGUCAAAUAAUUUGCGCGACGGUCAUAAGAGGCGCUGCUAUUUAAAAACAAAGUCGCAAAUAUUGCCGGCUUUAGCCGACGUAUGUCUCACGAUAUGUUAUAUCAUAUAUGUCGGAUAUAUCCGGCGUUAGAAACGAAAAAGAAACACAUCGUUAGAUUCAAACUACCAAGCCAAAAUAUGACAUACCGCAAUCCUACCACUGUCAAACAUAGGAUCACAAAAAAUUACUGUAACAGACCCUUAGUUUGUGUAGAAUAUAUAGGCAAUCAUUCUACAACAUCAUGUUCACAGCAAAGCAAAAUUGAAAACGUUAAGUGUAGUAAUUGUCAUAGGAAAUAUCUUGCUGUACAAUCCGUGAACAGUUACAACUGAAAUUCUUUCCUAUCUUAAGGAAAAGAAACGAACGAUCUCCUUUGGAAAUAAACAAUAAUUAUUUGACAUACAAUUCGAUAUAUGCAUCAACAAUUAGGCAUGUUUAAUCAUUAUAUGCAAACAAUAGAACCUACGCAUAAGGAAAAAUAGAACAUAAUAUCUAUAAAAUCAUAAUCAAUCUGUUGAUAUACAUCCUAGGUACCGAAGUAACAAAAAAAAGAAAAAAGAAAAUGCAUAAUUAAAACAGCUACUACUCCAACCGAUCAAAAACACAAAACUCAUUAUCAACAUGUUAGCAACACAAAGUACAUUGUUACAGCAUAAACACAUGAAUUAACUACGAACUUCAGUUAAAAUUGUCAAUAAUAACAAAUAAUGAAUUGUACAAUCAAAAUAGCAAUAUGGAAUAGCAACAGGCUAUAACAGAGACUGCAAAGUCAAUUUAUUUCCUACUCUGAUGAUACUGAUUAUAGCAAUUUCAGAAACUUAUUUUACAAUAAAAAAUCACAUUAAAAUACGUCAUAUAUAAUACUAACCAUUCCAGAGGAAAACACAUAGGAGCACCGCCGUUAUUAUUAAAAUAGGUGUAGGUUUAUAGUAGCCUAAACUGACAAAAGUGUGACCGAUACCUAGAAAAAAAAGCAACAAACAUUAAGAUUAUUCAUCAUCUUUCACUCGAAAUGUGUUUGACUUCAGCGAUAGAUAUGGACAAAAUAUGAACUACGAAUAUUUUGUUUAUAUAUAUUAUAUAUAUUCCUACAAUUUGGAAGGUUAGCCGGGAUCGGAUCGUAUUAAAUCAAAAUGACAUGAUUAAAGUAAAUAUUCGUGUUGUCCAAGAAGUGUGGUGCAAGUUAUACAGGAAAAAAAUUCGUUGUGAAUGGUAUUGUUUUGUACAGUGCACAUUAGGCAAAUAGCCACAAGUAGUUUUAUAUUGCACAGUGCAUUCAAGAUGUUAAACAAUGCAGCCUUCAAAGAAGAAUUCUGUUCCAUCACCAAAUCUAUGGCAACGGAAGAACUUGGACACAAACUGCAAGGGCUUGAUUUGUCAAUAUACAAAGGUCCAAGGUGGUAUUAGUUAAUAAACUAAAGAAAGCUAUACACAAUACAGAUAAAGCAUAAGAUGGCGAGGAGUCAUCAAUACACACUGAUGAUCGUGAUGAUCGAGACAGUGAUCAUAAAAAGAAUCUUGACACGCUAUUUAAAGACAAAUUAAAGGCGAAAUUUUGUGUUUUAGAUAUAAAAUUGACCAGCAAGAAGGCAGAAUUGGCGAGGAGACUGAAAGCAGUCAUGAUAGCGAUAAAGAUGACGAUAACAGCGACACUAAAGACGAAGAAAAAAAGCAAGAUGCAAGAAUUACAAGAUGAAACAACAUGAGAAAUCGUGAAAAUUCUUGGAUUUUCUCGUAGCAUAAUGACUUUUAGAGAUGUCAAAGAUGCACUUGAAAUUUACAGUGGCGACAAAGGUUCGAAGAACUGUAAAAACGUGCACAUAAUUAAAAAUGGAGAAAGUUACUAAGAGAUGCAGCAAAAUUAUUCAUUAUUUUUGAAUGUCACGCGAAGACAUUGGCUAAACAAAAAAGAAAACUUAUCAAAGAAUUUUCGGUAAAUAGUUAAUGUAAAAAAGACGGUAAAUAGUAAGCAAGCUCAUGAACACUUCAGCAAAAUGAAAAAGAAGCACGAUGAAUCAUAUCAGGCGUAUAUAUAUUAUGUAUUAGAAAUGGCCAAUUACGCGGAAAUUGAAUUACGUUAAAAUUCAGUAUACAGGAUAAUACCUGAACUAAUGGUACAACCGCGAAGAUUAUUAUUCUACGUGAAAAAAAAAAUAAAUGAGGAAUAAAUAAUUUAAUGAAGAAUGUUUUCAUACGGGGCACCGUUUUCGAGAAAAACCACUUUAAAGGGUCACAAGGUACACAUGCAUUCAAUCACGUUUCCACUUGACAGAUUUCGCUGUAGACGAUACCUGCUCGAAUUUAUAUUUGUAAACAUUGCUAAUGUCAUGACUUAUUGCUUGUCCGUCCUAUUAUCUUAACAGUAUCGAAUCUCAGUUUCUGUCAAUCUAUCAAUAUGACUAUAUACAGAAAUCGAGAAUAUACUGACAUGAUACUUACAUUAGGUGUAUGUGGUGGUAAUGCUUCUACUGCAGCUAAUUAUUAUCAGGUACGACAUCCAAAUCGCCAGGCGAGUCAUUCAAAGAGCAAAACGAGUGCUAGAAGAACACGGAUCUUUUGAUUUACUUUGUAGACAUCGAGGUCGCUUUCAAUAAAGAACCAUGCGUGUGGAAAAAAUAUUCUAGGACACAAAAUAAACUGACGAUAAAUGUAAAGAAUCUUUUUUUGCGACACAACGUUAGUGUUACAACGAUUAUCCGUGUAUUGCAUGAACAGGAAAUGUAUCCUUAUCACUUCACUAGAGUAUAAGAACUCCAACACCGCAAUUACAUUCCGCGAAUGGCAUUUUGUCAUUGGAUGCCUCAAUAAAAUAUGCAUGAUCCACAAUUUUUAUUGAAAAUUUGGUGAACAGAUGAAGCAAGAUUUACUAAAGACGGAGUAAUUAAUUUAUGUAAUUUGCAUACAUGGGCAUUUGGAAAUUUUCAUAUUAUUGUUGAAACGCACUUCUAAUGAGAUGAAUGUUUGGAGUGGUAUAGUUGGAUGAAAAAAUUUUAUUCCUUAUUUUUGACUUAUCUUUUUCAUGUAGAAUCAUAAUCUUUGCAGUUAUACCACCAGUUUGGGUACACCUUGUGAAAUCGAGGGCAUUCAGACAACGAAACAAAUAAGUCAAUAUUAUACAAGAUUUAUCCGAAAAAUAUCCGACCUUGUGCUAUAGCAAGAAAAAGCUGAUGUGAUCAAUGACGACGAUAUCCCCUUUAAAAUAUUUUGGAAGCUACAUCCUUCUUCCAGCGAUCCUCCCACUUUCGAAAACACACUUUGUAUUCAGCUUUCGGAAUAACUAACAGCCGUUUCAUCGCGUUUCUUUUUAUUUUCUCCAGGUCAUUGAAUCUUUUUAAAAGGAUUUUUCAAUGUAAAAAACAGCCAGAAGUCGCAAGGAGCAAGAUCAAGACUGUAUGUGAAGGCUGAUAAAGCCGAACAAUGCCGUAUUUCAGAAGAAAUUGCCGGAUAAAUUGCAUUGUUCGAUGCAUUCAGUUGAUUUGUUCGAUGCGUUUAGUCAUCAUAAAAUACGACACACACGAAAUUCAACGUUUACUCAACAGCGUACUGUUGUCGACCGAAGACUCGAAGCAUCGUGCUGCCUGGCAGAGGCACUCAUGAAGGUCCUCUCUGAAUGAUGAAUACCCGGUUUUAACAAUAGCACAUCCAGAUAUAAGGUUAGAGUACAAAGCCGGAUACUUUUCGGACAAACCUCGUAUAGUGCCUCUACAAUAAAAUAACUAACAAUCAGGGUCAAAAAAGUAAAGAAGUAAGGCUCAUUUAGGCUCGAUAAGAUUAAAGGUUUUGCCCGGACAAAAUAUCAAAGGUCCAAAAUGUUUUAAAUACGAGUUCGGUCACGUAUCGGCAAAGUGUCUGAAAAUCGCCAGUGCUAACAAAGAAAAAAUAGGAAAAACAAGUGUGAUUUGUUAAAAUCUGGUGACAAAAAGAUCUACAAAAAAGUGAAAAUUUUUAAUAAAAAAAUAACGUCCAUGCUAGAUGGAGGCAGCGAUCUACAUAUAGUGCAAUUCAGUUUUUAUAUACAGCUCGAAGCCCCGUUUCUCAAUUGUCCCCUUUGGCGAAGUAAGUGCUGCAAAUCGCACUUUGAGACAUUUUCAAGCAAAAAUGAAAAUCAAUAAUUAAACAUUUAUUUUCAAGUUUGAUAUUGUGCUUGAUGAUUUUCUAAGACAUGAUGUGUUGAUUUCAGAUACUUAUUUAGGAAGAAAAUACACAACGUUUGUAGAUCUUAAUAGACAUAACGAAUUUUUAAAGGUGCCAUUUGGACUGUGCAAUUUACCAGCUGUAUUUCAGAGACACAUGCAAACAAUUUUUCGUUCGCUAAUAAAGAGUACGAUGGAAUUACUUUAUCUACGACGAUUUGAUAAUCUCUUCAAGAAACGAACGGGAACAGAUGCAAAAAUUAAAUUGUAUUAUCCCUGAACUUUUGUAAAAACUUAAAAAAAUAGAUUUAUAGCGGUAGAAUAUUACAAUACCAAACAGCUUCAAUAAAAUAAUACCCAGAAAUAAAACACUACUUCAGGUCAUAGACAAAUUGUCUUUAAUAUCAAUAUCGAUAUGCUGUGCUCAAUUAUUUAACAAAUAGAAAGAAUUAUGGAAAAAAACAUCUUUGUGGACAUCUAAAAGCGACAACAACAAGUCAUUCUGAGAUAGUAUCGAAUUCUAGCCUGACAGCACGGUAAUUCACGCCAACAUUCGUAACGUUCAACAUAUAAUUAUACAAGCGAAGCAUUUAAAAAAAAAAAAAAAAAAUGUAGAAAAAACCAUCUCUUACAAAUUGACACAAAGUAAUUACAAAAGAUUUUGCUGAAAAAUAUCUCCACUGGAAAAAAAGUGUAUUCGUAUUAUUAAUAUAGUUCUGUUCGUUAAACGGUUACAUUGAUUUAACGAGUGGUUGCGCUAGUGUGGGUGUAACAAUAUUUACAUUUUACAUAUCCUAUACAUUAAAUAUGUCCUCUAAAGUAUCUAUAUAGAAUUGCAAGUUCGUAUCUUGUACAUGAAAGAAAUUGAAGAAGAAAGUAUAAACAUGGACUGACAUUACUUAUGUACUUUCUGAGUAUUCAAACUGAUCAAAAUAAUAGAACACGUAAUGUUUUCCAUUAUUAUGUAUUCUGUGUUCUAUCAGCAGUUAUUAGAAAUAGACGUGUAAAUCUUUCAUUUAUCUAGAACAUUUAUGUCAUUAAUGUUGAAAUGGGUUGAGGAUAACAAUUAGAUAAAGUGAGAUUUAGAUAAAAGAACCGAAUCUUGUUAUUACAGUCACAAAAUUAAAUUAUCACAAAAAUUGCGAAGUUAUUAAAUAGAUCUCGUGCUACAAUAGAACUAACAGGCCAUAUUACGUAUAGCUUCCAAUUAUAAUGGAAGUGCAAAAAGAAUUAUUGGAAAAGCAGAUGUUUCAGCUAACGCAAGAGCUGUGCAACAUAUUCUCUAAAGCAGUAAACAAAUUAAACAAAAAGAAACUAAAAGGAAAAUCUCCUUUAAGUGAAUAACAUAAGGAAGUUUAAAUUUUGUUUAAAAUUUGUUCGUGAUCAUGUUUUAUAGAAAAAGAAGUGGAGAAAUGCGAUAUUUAGUGACGAAAAGAAAUUUAUUUUGAACAGUCUUGAUGGCUGGAAUUACUAUUUCCACAAUCUAAGGAAAGAAGAAUAAUAUUUAAACCAUCAAAUGAAUGGUAGUAGUGUUAUAAUGUAGGUCGGUAUUGGAUAUCAAGGAAAAACUGACAAAAUUUUUUUCAAGUCAUAUAAACAUCGAAAAAUAUAUUAACACAUUGACUGUCAACUAUUGACUUAUUUCAAUAGUUUGUUUACUCGCCAUAUUUGUGCAGUUACGAUGAAAUUUGUACUAUAUCAGUGUAAAUAUGAAUAGAUAGUCUCAGGGAGAACAUAAAAUCAAGGUUGACUUACAUGAACAGAAAAUUUAUUAAUAAAUGAACAGAAAAUGUAAUCAUACAAAGUUUAUUCAAAAUCAACAAGCAAAAGAAUAUUUUAUUAUUUGUAAUAAUUUUUAAAAUAAUCUUCCGCGCAAAGGCUUCUUGAUAGAUUGGACAGAAAUAAUGCGUUUCUCUGCAUUUUUCAGCUUUGGUACAAAUUCGACAUGGCAUGUUUUUUUUCGGUAGGUGAGGUAUUGUAAAUAAUGAAUCUUUUUGCAAUCUAAUUUUUUUUGAAACUGGUUGAAUAUCUUUUCCAAUCAAACGCGUCGACGAAUGCUUCUCUUUAUAAGUAAAAAAAAACUUUAUAGAAAAAGUUGCUUUUUAAAAAGAUUUGUAUAUACAUAUAUAUAUAUGUAUAUGUAUAUAUAUAUAUAUAUAUAUAUAUAUAUAUAUAUAUAUAUAUAUAUCCUUAUAAUAUGUAAUGCAACCUUUUUGGGCCAUCUAAUAGUCUUUCUUAGUAGUACGAUAGCAUUUGAUCUGAUCGGUCAAUGCUAAACAUUCCUUGAUUGUAAUCUUGAAUUAUAUUUGGUUUCAUCGAAAGUUUUCCAUUAUGAUUGAACAUCUCUACCAUUUUAACAUGCAUGUUUGAACUGGUAAGGACUUCUUGUUUGUCUCUCCAUUUACAUACAGUAACAGGACCACUACCAAAUAAACUGCCCUUUUUUCAGUUUUUGAUUUACCACAUUUCUGGGAUUCCUCUUUCUGUUAUUUCGUAGAGUUCCACACAUAUAAGUUUUUCGUGUAGUCAAUUCAAUUUCGUCAAUACUGAAUUAUAAUUCAACAAAAUUAUAAAAAUUAUCCAUGUAUACUGUAAAAUAUUUUUAUCUGGCACAUAGUUUUGGUACAUAAUAUUAGUAUAGGUUGCACCUUGUAUAAUCUGUUGGAAAAUGGUAUUGAAUUAUCAAGUGAAAAUAACGCACUAACAAUUGGAAUUUAUUUCGAUUCAUACCAAUUUUUGCCAAAACAUUACAUUAUACAAUUUGCUUGUAUUCUUUUGAUUGUAAGUAAUGUUCUAUUGAAGAAAAAGGGCAAGCACCUUUUUGUAAUAGAAGUCGAAUGAAAACUUUCAUUUCCUGACGUCUUUUCACUGUGAUUCGUUCUUAGAUUUUUUUUAUUUGUUUAUGUUUUGACCACAAUAAUACAAAAAAUUCUUCCGAAAAAAGUAAGUCCAUCAGCGUUUUCACUGUAAGAUUUGUUGUAUCCAAUUUCAAACCAAUAUGUUCUCGGAAAAUAAAUAGUUCCAGAUUUUGUUAA
Long non-coding RNA from Vespula vulgaris, 27139 nucleotides. RefSeq lists it as uncharacterized. The transcript has 3 exons. NCBI's taxonomy places the organism in Eukaryota, Metazoa, Arthropoda, Insecta, Hymenoptera, Vespidae. The record is from RefSeq and is a predicted model, not a curated record.